Molecule: long non-coding RNA, 1644 nt
Organism: Lolium rigidum
Lineage: Eukaryota; Viridiplantae; Streptophyta; Magnoliopsida; Poales; Poaceae
Exons: 7
Source: RefSeq, a predicted model, not a curated record
AUUUCUCCUUUGUUGAGCACGGGUCAUGGCACAACAUUGUUAUAGCUGGUUCUACACAGUGCUCAAGCAAUUUCAUAAUUGGCUUGCGCCGUCCAAGGUUUCAAGUAGGAGCAAGGCCUACCGCACCACGGCGUCGAGCCAGCUGUCGGACGAGCGGGGAGAGCGUGAGGGAGAAGUCGGUGUCACCUCCCGCAACCGUCGCACUGGGUUCUUGUGUUGAUCAACAGCAAGGGCAGGAGUCCUUUAGGAUGCCAACAAAUUAUCUCUAGUUGCUAUUUGCUGGUUAGGCUGCCUGGUCCUAGAUGGUAGGUCAAGAGGUGGAAAUGCCAAGAAAUUGAUGUUAGUCGCAAACAAUGAGGACACCUACAGGGGGGGCGAGGAGGUUAGAUUCUGGUUGGCCAAAUAUAGUGUCUCUGCAUGUGAUUAUACAUGGUUUCUGAAGCAAGUUCAUUGGUUUGGUCUGAAGAAAAAUAUCUUUUGUCACAUUUGUGCAAAGCCCUUUUUCAGCAUUUCUGAGGAUGUGAAGUUAUGUUUCCAUCCUCAUAUUUGUCACACACAAAUUUCUCAAUUUGCAUGAGUAGAUCUAAUCAAGUUGUAUCAGGCUUUAUCACACCUUUUAUAUGGCAGGGUACCAUUGAUCCUAUAUAGAAAAUUUAUCCUUUACCUAAUCACAUGUGGAGUUUAGACUGAUGUUGCCUCAGAAAAAGAUGAGGAUAUCGAGCCAAGGUGUAUCACCCGCUCAUUUGCUUAUAAGGGCAGGCUACUUUUUUAUAUUUUGGCUCAAACAAGCUGCUCCCAGCCACGGUUGAUCCACUAAAUUUUAUCAAAUGAGGCAGAAUCUUCAGGACACGCUUGGUGUCUUGGAAAUACGCCACCAUCGGUGAUUCUUUCCAUUGAUAGGGGAGGACCAGAUCUUUUGCCUUACCAGGAUUUUUGCUUGACAUGUCAUAGCUACACCCCAUGAGCUUGGGCUGUGAUACAGAAGAAUUGCGCAAAGUUCGCAAAGAAUUAGCCAUUGAACUGUUGUGCAAAAAAGCACAUAACAUGGUUAAUUCUCUUGAUGCAGAACCUGAAACAUCGGUGGUUAAUUACUUUUGUUGACAAGCUUGUCCUAAACCUCAGCUUCGAUGAAGUAAUUUUAGCACCCGUUUCUUCCUUCUCUAAAGCAUGGGUUGCUGCAGAGAUGGUGUACUUGGAAGUGGAAGGGGAAGUGCAUAUUUAGCACAGUCUUGCCUUUUUCUGGUUCAGUACAUGAAAACUUGAGUUCAGCUUUGUGAGCCUGUUGCUAGAAGGAGAUGCGCAAGAGUAGUGACUGGGCAUUAUUCAGUUCUUAGCAUUAUUCAGUUCUUGCACCUCUGAUAGUGAGAUUGAGAAAAUUGAAAACCGUUAUCUGUGUGCGCCGAGUAGUGACUGGGCAUUAUUCAGUUCUUGGCAUUAUUCAGUUCUUGCACCUCUGAUAGUGAGAUUGAGAAAAUUCAAAACCGUUAUCUGUGUGCGCUUGUGGUUUUGUUAUUUACUGCUUACACCAAGGAAUUUGUUUUGAGAGAAUCUGAGGCACAUUAUGUAUCUUAUUGAAAAGCUACUGAGUAGCUUCAGAUGGAAUGUUGUCUCAGAUUAUAAUUAAUUUAGUAGCUUCAGAUGGAA